AGAAGAAAGAGGCGAUCGAAGCGACAACCCAACGCACAUGAUGAACGAUUGACCUGUGUGUGGCUCCGGAUAUGUGCAUUGCCCGAUCAACGUGCAGCUCCUAGACUUGCGAAUAUGGUGGGGGUAGAAAGAAAAAGAGAGAGAGAAAAAGAGAAAGAGAGAGGGAGAGAGAAGAGGAAGAAGAAGAAGAAGAAGAAAAA
This 200-nucleotide long non-coding RNA is filed under the name Carica papaya (papaya). RNAcentral's name for it is "long non-coding RNA (CPAP_LNC001374)". The record is from RNAcentral. Lineage: Eukaryota; Viridiplantae; Streptophyta; Magnoliopsida; Brassicales; Caricaceae.